Molecule: ribosomal RNA, 468 nt
Filed under: uncultured bacterium
Lineage: Bacteria
Description: partial 16S ribosomal RNA
Rfam family: Bacterial small subunit ribosomal RNA
Source: RNAcentral
GACGAACGCUGGCGGCGUGCUUAACACAUGCAAGUCGAACGGAAAGGCCCUGCUUUUGUGGGGUGCUCGAGUGGCGAACGGGUGAGUACCACGUGAGUAACCUGCCCUUGACUUUGGGAUAACUUCAGGAAACUGGGGCUAAUACCUGAUAGGAGCUCCUGCUGCAUGGUGUGGGUUGGAAAGUUUCGGCGGUUGGGGAUGGACUCGCGGCUUAUCAGCUUGUUGGUGGGGUAGUGGCUUACCAAGGCGUUGACGGGUAGCCGGCCUGAGAGGGUGACCGGCCACAUGGGGACUGAGAUACGGCCCAGACUCCUACGGGAGGCAGCAGUGGGGAAUAUUGCACAAUGGGCGGAAGCCUGAUGCAGCAACGCCGCGUGCGGGAUGAUGGCCUUCGGGUUGUAAACCGCUUUCGCCUGUGACGAAGCGUGAGUGACGGUAAUGGGUAAAGAAGCACCGGCUAACUACGUG